This 497-nucleotide ribosomal RNA is filed under the name uncultured bacterium. Its description in RNAcentral is "partial 16S ribosomal RNA". It matches the Rfam family "Bacterial small subunit ribosomal RNA", at positions 28 to 507 of the family's 1533-position model. The record is from RNAcentral.
GAUGAACGCUGGCGGCGUGCCUAAUACAUGCAAGUCGAGCGAACAGACGAGGAGCUUGCUCCUCUGACGUUAGCGGCGGACGGGUGAGUAACACGUGGAUAACCUACCUAUAAGACUGGGAUAACUUCGGGAAACCGGAGCUAAUACCGGAUAAUAUAUUGAACCGCAUGGUUCAAUAGUGAAAGACGGUUUUGCUGUCACUUAUAGAUGGAUCCGCGCCGCAUUAGCUAGUUGGUAAGGUAACGGCUUACCAAGGCAACGAUGCGUAGCCGACCUGAGAGGGUGAUCGGCCACACUGGAACGGGGACACGGUCCAGACUCCUACGGGAGGCAGCAGUAGGGAAUCUUCCGCAAUGGGCGAAAGCCUGACGGAGCAACGCCGCGUGAGUGAUGAAGGUCUUCGGAUCGUAAAACUCUGUUAUUAGGGAAGAACAAAUGUGUAAGUAACUAUGCACGUCUUGACGGUACCUAAUCAGAAAGCCACGGCUAACUACGUG